CACGAAUACUAAAUGAGCUAUAUCUUUAUUGUUUAGAACCCAUAUAUUAUUGUUUCAUUAAUAUAUAAAAAUAAAGAUUUUGAAGCUAAAUACUAUUCGCAUUAGUAUAUAUCUUGUUUCUAUUGAAAUUUAUCUAUUAAAUAAAUUAAAAAUGUUAUAAAUUAUAGGUAAUAAGAUCUAUAAUUCUACUCAAUAGUUUUAUUAUUAUAAAUAGUAUGCUUAAAAUCAGCUUUCAUAAAGUACUUAAUAGUAUUAAUAUUAUAAAAUUAAUAAAUUUUUUAUGAGUCAUUUAAAUAGAAUUAUAUUGUAACUGUUAUUAAUAAAUUUAAUAUGUAAAUAUUAGUAAUAUAUUAAAAUUAAAUAAAGGAAUUCGGCAAAUUUAUAUUUCAACUGUUUAACAAAAACAUUUCUCGAAGAUAAAAUAUUUUGAGUAUGCCCUGCCCAAUGAUUAUUAAAUGGCCGCGAUACAUUAAUCGUGCAAAGGUAGCAUAAUAAUUUGUUUAUUAAUUGUAAACUAGUAUGAAAGGGUAAAUGAAAUUAUAACUGUCUCUAUUUUUUUUUAUUGAAAUUAAUUUUUAGGUGAAGAAGCCUAGAUUUUAUUAUAAGACAAGAAGACCCUAUAAAGCUUUACUUAUUUUAUAAAAUACAUUAUAAAUUUAGUUUGAUUGGGGCGAUCAUUGAUUUAAUAAACAUCAAAUUUAUUUUAUGAUUUAACUAUCUUUUUUAGAUCCUAGAUUGAUCAAUUGAUUAAGUUACUUUAGGGAUAACAGGCUAAUAUUAUACGAGAGUUCAUAUCGACUAUAAAGUUUGGCACCUCGAUGUUGACUUAGGAUUCCUUUAAGGCGCAGCUGUUUUAUAAGGUGGUUUGUUCAACCAAUAAUUUCCUACAUGAGUUGAGUUCAGACCGGCGUAAGCCAGGUUAGAUUCUAUCUAUAAUAAUUUAUAAUAAUAGUAUUUAUUGUACGAAAGGACUUAAAUA
This 979-nucleotide ribosomal RNA is filed under the name Dinobdella ferox. Its description in RNAcentral is "16S ribosomal RNA". The stretch from base 575 to 979 matches the Rfam family "Bacterial large subunit ribosomal RNA", at positions 2048 to 2699 of the family's 2925-position model. Lineage: Eukaryota; Metazoa; Annelida; Clitellata; Hirudinida; Hirudinidae. The record is from RNAcentral.